AACCACCCGAUCCCAUCCCGAACUCGGAAGUGAAACGCAGCUGCGCCGAUGGUAGUGUGGCUCAAGCCAUGCGAGAGUAGGUCAUCGCCAGGG
RNAcentral lists this ribosomal RNA (93 nucleotides) under Stenotrophomonas sp. The record is from RNAcentral. RNAcentral also lists the same sequence under 3 other names. Lineage: Bacteria; Pseudomonadati; Pseudomonadota; Gammaproteobacteria; Lysobacterales; Lysobacteraceae.